Molecule: non-coding RNA, 73 nt
Organism: Pangasius djambal
Lineage: Eukaryota; Metazoa; Chordata; Actinopteri; Siluriformes; Pangasiidae
Source: the annotation of a GenBank genome assembly
GGCAUGGUGGUUUAGUGGUUGGCACUGUUACCUUGCACCUUCAGGGUUGAGGGUUCGAAUCCCACCUCUGCCC